Molecule: long non-coding RNA, 25923 nt
Organism: Columba livia (rock pigeon)
Lineage: Eukaryota; Metazoa; Chordata; Aves; Columbiformes; Columbidae
Exons: 3
Source: RefSeq, a predicted model, not a curated record
AAAAAAAAAAAAUCACGCCCGUGAGGCUGUCAAGGUCCUCACUGUACAAUUUCCUAUCUAUCUCAGUGCCUCUCACCAAGCCGCCCCCUCCCCUGCAUGUGACGCAGAUGUUCUCUGGGGCUGUCAGUGUGAAGAGAUGGAAAAAAAAGAUGCUUCAGUCUUCUUCAUGCAAAAUGCAUGACAUUUUGAUGAAGAAGAAAAAAAGAGAUAUCACUGUGCUUUGGAUAAAGAUAAUACUAGGAUGAAUGGUUUUGAAACAAUUCUCACUUGAAUGUGGGAAUUCACACAUGAGUGAAUGAACAUGUACUUCAACGAUAAAGAUGCUGAUUUUGUGAGUGGUUCAUUAUACAUUCAGAAGCAAGAAUCUGAGGGUGUUAAAAAGAUGCUGUGAAACAGAUCCAUAGAAUACUCACGCCAAAGAGAGCAGAGAAAUAAAUUGAUGGGACUGGACAUCCACUGAGAGAUCAAAAGUUGCUGAAGAAAGUGUCAGUAUGGUAAGUGAUAAACAAAUAAAUAAUGUAUUAGACUUUUUCUUUAAACUUUUAUUGUGUGUAAAGCCUUUCAACAGGCUUUAUGAAAUGUAGAUAUAUUCUGAAUUGGUUUUGAUAAGUGAACUAGGAAACACUGGGAAAAUAUUGUACCAGUAAGAAACUAAAGUGUCAUUUUGUGUAGAAUGUAUACAAAGUUUCAAGUUGUUGAGCUGAUUUUCCUCCCAUAAUAGUAUAGACACAUGGGUAGACAAAUUUGAAAUACUGUAACUACAUCUACAAUUAUUAAAUAUGAUUGUUUUCUAAUGCAAGAAAGGAAUUAUGAAACCAGACAAACAGUAAACCACUUGCUAGCUCUUGUGUUGUGUUUUUUUUUUCUUUGUAGCGAGUUUUCAGCUGAAAUUGAACUUUUGAGAAUGAUUUUGCCUUCUGAUAAGAUAAAAGAUCAAAUUAUGUUAUUUCUCAAAAUUAACCAUGAAUUAGAAAAACACAGGAUAGAUUUCUGUAAGUGUGGUGACAUGACCAGCUGCAUUUAUUUCAGGGGGUUACAGAAAUUACUUCUACAUAGUUGUUGUUUACUGCCUCCUUAGCAAUGCCAGAUAAAAUAAUGAUACAAGAAUUGCCCGCAGUAGUGAUUUGAACAUAUACAUUUCAUUCUUCAUUGCAGGAGCCUAGAAGAGCACAGUCAGUUAUCCUAUAUGUGCUUGAGGGACAGUCACUUCUUAAACCAUUUCAUUAUGGUACCAAUCAGUUGUAUAAACUGACCCUAAAGCAGUUUUUAAAUGGUCAGAGAAUUUCACUUAAGAAGUGUGAACGCUGCAUGAUUUGUCAUGGAUAACGAUUCACAACUAAACUAAGGCUAGAUAACAUAAAAUUAUGAAAACAGAUAAAUAAAUAUUAAAUUUAGAAAAGUAGGAAAAUUUUAGAAUAUUAAGGUUCUUCAAUUAUAAAAUCAAUCCCCAGAGGUUUUCUGUUUGCAAUGGUUGUCAGCUGUCUUGAGAAAUACAUAAUUUUGAUCUGUAGUUCCCAAGCUGGCUAUGGACUACCCUUAUUUGAAAAAUGUCAUGCUUUCUUUCCCAAAUUAUGGUCAAGAGAAACAGCUGAACUCCAUCUGGUACAGGUUUGACAGAGCACACACCUUUGUGCUCCUAUGCUUUAUUCCACAUUAUAUCCUUAGACUUCACCAUUUGGAAGCUGCUCAUCUGUCCCAUUUGCUGAUUCACAUAGAAGCUGUUCCUAUCUGACUUAGGUGAUAGAAUUUCUUAUUAAAAUAACUAUGUUGUUUUAUUUUGUUUUAAAUCUAACAUUUUUAGCAGUGCUGCUGUGGAUGAUAACUUUGAUCAGUUUCUCUUCUCUGUGAAAUUUCUGGUGAUACAAAGAAAAUAAGAUAUUUUUUCUUAGCUAGAUUCAAUAAUAGUUGUGGUCAUUUUUUCUGUGACUCAGAACCUUCUUAGAACUGGUUUACUUUCAUGUUCUGUUCAAAAAAGAUGCAGUUUCCUGCUGAUCUUUAAUUUAGCAUUUACUUUUCGAUCCAGAGUAAAAACUUCUUUCAAAUAUUAUAUAUUAGCAAAUGACAACAACGGAGAUACCCAUAGUUUGCAAAAUGGGCUGUAUAAAAAGAGAAAUAUCUGGGAAAUUACCACUGCACAUAUACUAGUAAAUUAAAUUAGACUUCAUUAAAUUAAACAGAGCCAAUGUAACUGAUAAGGCAUUAUCACAGUCUCUAAAGUGGUUUGGGUUUGUACAAAGUAGCAUCUCGUGAACUUGUUCAGGAGUUAGCAAGUCAGGACACAUGCUCAAUAGGCACUUUGGGUGUAGCUAUUGUUUUAGAGGAUAAAAGCGUUUAGCCAUAUGGAUGUAAAUUGUGCCAUGCCGUUUGGCCUGAGUCCCAGAGCUGAACAGAGCAGAGAACAGGCACUGGGUGAUUUUGUUUCCUGUUCUAGACAUGACCUUAUGAUGCUUAUGUUUAAGUUUAGAGGUUCUUUUGAAGUUAAAAAACAAAUUAUUUCAGGGGGUUUUCACCCUUGAAAACCUUUCAGUAUUUGAAAGAAAACUGAAGACUUCUAGACUUCUCUUAAGAACAAAGAUCAGUUGGGAUAACAGCAGAUUUGUGAUGCCACAUCACUGGAGAAGUUAACUUUUGAGUAACUUUAUUUUCAAGUUGAUAUGUUCUUCUCUAGUGUUUGAAUAAGCAGCAUUUUUAAUCCAUGUCAGAAGACACUGGGACGUAGUAAAGUGAAUACAGGCGAGUCACUGAAGAUGGAGGAAAGAAGUUGGCUGGUUGAGACCAACAUGUUUUUGGUAUUCACCCACAACUGCUAAGAGAUAUUUUGUAAUGUCCCUCUGUGGAUAGGUUGUUUUAAAAGAACCGUCUUUUUUGUUUGUUUGGUUUUUUGUUUGGCUGUUUUGGUUUGUUUGUUUGUUUGUUGUUAAUCUGACUUGUAGUUUCAUAUAUUGCUUUAUUUUAUAGGAAAACUUGCUAACCCUAUAGAAUUUAGCUUUAAAAAUCAAAAUGCUUUAUCCAAGUAACAGGAUAUUGGAUUAUUUUAAAGAAUCUUCUCUGACUAUAUUAUUUACCUUCUAAAUGGCAAUCUUUGUAAUCAGAGUAGAAAAAUAAAUAAGUGGAAAUUAGAAAAUAUCAACCGUACUACAACACAUAUAGACUUUUAUUUUGAGGAAUACUAAAUGAAUAGCAUGUAAUUGCUCAGAUUCACACGUGUAGUAACAAGUGUAAUAAUCUUAUAUUUUUAUAUUAAAGUUUUGCUAUUUAAGAAAUAAACUGAAGAGCAAAAUACUGUUAUUUUAGUGUUACUGUUGUAUGCACUUCUAAAAGAAGAUUUUCCUCCUGUAGCAUACAAGUAAAAUAUUUUGAAGUACAGAACAGCAAUUAACUUCUAUUAAUGUUACGAAUGAACUUCUAUUUUUUUUCUUUGCCAUUGAAAAGUAUAAGAAAAACUUCUGUAAUUUAACUGCAUCAAGAUAAAAUCAAAUAAUGUAGACGGUCCUAUACAUCUCAUUCACACAGAAUUACUCAAGCAGUAAAUCUUGUUACUCUGUUGCCUGUUAUUGAGACCAAGUAUUAAAACGAGCAAUAUAUGAUCAUCAUGAUGUCUCCUCACUUUAUCUCCAGCUCAGAGUCUCCUUGCCCUUUGGGUGCUAUCUUCCUUUCCAUACUGCUUUAACUUUUGAAUACAUGCACUUAGAGGGGAAGCAUUUCACGAUUUUCAUGUGUGUCUCAUGGUAUGUGACACCCCUGUCUUCACAAUGGUGUGUUCUGUUGCUUGAGUUGUUAUUUAACAUCAAACUUAUACUGUCCUAUAUUUCACACAUUUUCUGGUCUCAAUAGACAGAUCCCAAGUCUCUGAAAAAUUGUAUACUUCCAGUUUAGGUAGCUACAUUUUUUCCCCACAAAAAUUAAACUUUCUAGUUGCAAUCAAGGUAUUUAUUGCUUGUGCCAAGUGCCUUGUCAUUACAUUAUUAAGAUUAGUUGAAAAUUUUACAUUGCAGUGACAUAGACUUUGCUUCGGUUAUUCUCAGGUAAUGACGGAUGUUUGGGCAGAUUCUGACUUCAUAGUUAAAUAGAGCAAUCUUCCUUUCUGGGAAACCUAACAAGGAAAGGCACAUAUAGUAAUCUUGGUGGAGAUCUCUGAAUGACAUUUUAAUUUUAAAGUAACUGUUAAUGUCACUGAAAUCUUUAUUUACUAUGCAUAUUACUGGUUUUUGUCUUACAUCACAAUCAGGUAAAUCAUUCAAAACUGCAGAAAGUAUUUACAGUAUUUCUUGCAGAAAUGUAUUAUUUCUUUAAAAGGAUUCUUCAGUAUUUAGCAUAAAAUAAGCUCUUGUAUGCUUCUCUUGUCCUUCCUUUUGAACAGGAAAGAUGGGUCUUUGUUUAUGAUUAUGCGUACCUAUGGUCUUUUAUUUGUUUACAUUCAGCAUUUCACCACAUUAACAAAACAGAUAUUUGAGAAUGUUAUUUUUUGUUUUGAUUAUUUAUAUUUUCAGUUGACCCGAGUGUUCCAGAGAGUGUACUGUUGUUUUUGUUUGUGAUUUGGGUUUUGUUUGUUUGUUUGUUUCCCUUGAAAAAUGUUUUUUUUUUAAUUUAGAUGAGAUUAUUGUAUUUGCUUGUACAAUUUGGGAGGAUAGUUUUCCAUCCAAAUGCCAUGAAACCUUCAGUAACAAGUGUUAACGUCACAAGUUAAAAUCACAGACUGGUUGAAAUUUCCUCUUUCAAACUACAUAAUACAAAAGCAGAAUGGGUAUGGAAACUUUAUUUUUUUAUAUAUUUCAUAGUAUUACAUAGUUGAUGUUUUACAUAUUUAUAGUUGUUCUUCCAUGCAGGUUUGUUUUCCUACUGUGUUUUCUCUGAUUUUACCUAAUGAAGGACUGUAUCUUUUUAAUCCCUUAGCCACAGUUUUUUUACACUGGCAGAAUGUGUAACUUCUGACAUGGCAAGUAUGUUCUACCUUCAUGUUUCAACGAUCUUUUUGUCAAGAAAAGUCUAGACAUGAACUACAGUGUAGAAUUAGACAACAAAGAAUUUUCAAUCCUGUCUCCUCAAAGCUAAGUGAACUAUAACUAUUUCUGACAGAUAUGUUUGUUUUGGUUUUUUUUAAUGCUUAUGAUGAAAAUUCCACAUUUUUCCUAUUUUAUUCCAGUAUAUCUUGGCAGUUACAUAAAGCUGCAUAUAAAUUAAAAAUAUAUGUAAAGUUGAGACGUGAUGUGUUGUAUGUAGCUGCAAGUAUAUCACACAGAAUCACAGAAUGUUAGGGAUUGGAAGGGACCUCAAAGAUCAUCUAGUCCAAUCCCCCUGCUGGAGCAGGAACACCUAGAUGAGGUUACACAGGAAUGUGUUCAGGCGGAUUUUGAAUGUCUUCAGAAGAGGAGACUCCACAACCUCCCUGGGCAGCCUGUUCCAGUGCUCUGUCACCCUCACUGAGAAGAAGUUUUUUUUCAAAUUUAAGUGGAACCUCUUGUGUUCCAGUUUGAACCCAUUACCCCUUGUCCUACCACUGGUUGUCACCGAGAAGAGUCUGGCUCCAUCCUCAUGAUACUCACCCUUUAUAUAUUUGUAAACACUAAUAAAGUCACCAAUGAGAUAAGGACUGACAGAAUUUUAUUUAUUUUGAUAUAACUUGAGUUUGGCAGUUAGAUUUCUACAUAAUGUAACCAAUAAGGAGGCAUAAUUAACAGUGAAGUUCAGUAAUUAGGCUGCUGUGAUUUCCGGAACAUGUGCUACCUGUCCAAUGGGAGUUAUAUGAGCAGUAGAAAGUAAUAUCUUCAGAUAUGAUUGAAACUGAUCAGGAAGGAACCUACAAAAAAUAAUAUUUAUUUCUGAUGAUCUAAAGAAGAGGACUAGAAGAAAAUCCUAAUUGACAGAAUCAUUCUGAUAACCUUUUGGGCAAUUUUCUUGUUUGCCCCAAACAUUCACAUGUGCUGUUUGGCAAUCAGGCUGUAGUUUUAAGUGAAGGUAACAACAAUCUUUCAUACUUUUUUUAAACCAAAAGAGCAUUACUGUCAACAUUCUGUUUGGGUUUUUUUCUGAAAGAAAAAACUUCAGUUUCUCAAGAUCAUUUGAAUUUUAAUGCGGUCUCCAAAGCCUAGUCUGAAGUGAUCUGCAAAUUGAAUGGUGUACUCUUAUUUUCUAUUAUAAAAUGAUAAAUGUAUCAAAUAGUACUGAAGUAAAGACAAAUAUAUACAUAAACAUGCUUAACAUUUUUUCUUAUUCUACUGUGACCAAUUAAUAGCAGCUGAGUCCACUUUUCCAACUAUUUAUACACUCACCUUGCAGCAGUUUUUUCGUAACUGUGAUUUUCUAGGUCAUUUAAGAAAAUACAAUAGUACCAGGCACUAUCUGAAAUACCCGUUACUUUUAAGAUACUAAUGAGAUGAGGUGCCCUGUUGAAGGAAAUUUGUUUGUAAUGCAAUUAUUUAUUGUCUGACAAUAAUCACCUUUUGAUUUUCUGUAUCUUUCUACUAAGAUAUAUUUCAUGGACAGAAGUUAGAUAACUGUGGCCUUUUUUCUCCUUAAAAAAAUAAAUAAAAUAAUAAUAAUAAUAAUAAUAAUAAUAAUAAUAAUAAUAAUAAUAAUAAUAAUAAUAAUAAUAAUAAUAAUAAUAAUGUUUGCCCUUUUCUAAUCUUCUGGAAGAUCAUUUAUUCUCUUUAUGUUCUCAAAGGUGACGCUAACAUGAGAUUUUGUCAGCCAUUUUUCUAAGUACUUCAUGGAAAAUUUCAUCAACCUCAUGAAAUUUCAUCUAAGAUAAGUAAUGUUUUUUAUGUCUGUGUUGAUGUGAUGUCCAUUCAUGCAUAACCUCCUUAAUGAAAACUGAAGCAGGAAACGUGUAAACACUUCAUCCUUCCCAGCAUCAGUAGUGUUUGGUGCUCCUUAAGUAAUGACUCAAGUCUUUCUUGACUAUCCUUUUGCUUCUGAUAAACUGACAGGAUAUUUUCGCUUCCUGGUUAGAUUUUUCCCAUUCCUCAGCUAUCCUGGUUACUGUUAGGUUACUAAAGGCAAGUAAAUUAAUACUAGCUCAGUGGUCAAAUGGAAAAAGACUGCUUAAACUUAGCCAUCUUAAUGACAGAUUAGUCUUGAAGAUAACUAAUGACAGAUGUGCAAAAAAGAGCAGUUAAGCAUUGUAGACUUUCAGGAGUACAAAUCUUUCCCUUGUCCUCUUUCAUCCAUGAGUGUAAUUGACCUCUCUGACUUUUCCCUAAGGUACUUUUUUCUGUACCGUUGUUCAUCUGUGCAACACAGGUUACAAUAUUUUCUGAUAAUGUCUGAACCAGUCACUUUGAGUUUUCUUGAUAAUCAGUAGGAAGAAGACAGUAUUCAGUUUCAACUUUUUUUUUUUUUUUUUAAUUUAAUGUAAUUGAAAGCUAGUUUUUUUGUUCAGUUGUACACAGAAACGAUUACGAAGAAGAAAUAACAUGGAGUUCUGAAAAUGGACAGAUAAAUAUCAUUACUUAACAAAUACUGCUGACUUCAAUAGAACUAAUCAUGUUCUCUUUGUGGCUUUAGGGGUUUUGUUUAUUUGUUUUGCAAUAAUUUCAGAUCAAAACAAUAAUUUCCAAGUGCACAACAGUAUUGCUUUCUUAGAACUGCAAUUCUUAUACUGUGGUCAAGACUUUUCAGGAAAAUGAAAUUUUAAAAUUUCUGUUCUUCUACUGUUGUUCUACGUAUGAAACCAACUCAAUUAUUUUGUUCAUGUUGUCCUUAUUUAUGUUUAAUGAUAAACACGAGUCUCUGAUAAUGUUCAAGGAAUGUAUUAUUUUAGGUAAUAUUCUGAGUUUAAGGUUUAUAGUGUACAAAAUCUGAAUAAAAUUAUAAAUUUGGAGAAAAGGCAUUUGAAGUUAUAUUUUAGUAGCUCAUGACUCAUUUAUUUAUCCUGGAAGUUUGGGUGCUUUUGUCCUCUUUUGCUCAACAUUAUUUUUACCACUACUCUGUCUUCAAGGAAAAAUAUGUCCUACAAUCACAAUUUUAUGAAUUACACACAGACAAAAAUUGAUACUUUAAAAAAAAAGUUAAUAGCAAGAGGAGGUCUAAAUAAAACAUUGGAUGCACACUUGUUGAAGGUGGUCUGCUGACUAAUAGGGAUGAAAGAAAAGCAGAGGCAUUCAAUGCUUCUCUUGUUCCAGUCUUUAAUAAUGCUGAUGGAUGUCAGGCAUCCUGGUCCCGAGUCGAAGGACCAUGAGUUUGGGAACAGUGAAUUUCAUUUUUUGGACACUGAAAUUGUAAGGAACCAGCUCUAUCAGCUGAAUGUUCACAAGUCCAUGGGGCUUGAUGGGAUUAACCCCAGAGUACUGAAGGAGCUGGCAAAUGUUACGGCAGGACCCUUCUUGGUCAUCUACCAAAAGUCUCAGGAUCCUGGGAAGGUCCCUGACUGGUGAGCUGACUGACAGCUCACCAAUGCUGCCACAGUAAAGCUGGUCAAAGGGCUGGAAAGAAUGACCUAUGAGGAGCAGCUGAGGACUUUGUGUUUGUCUUGUUUGGAGAAAAGGAGGCUGAGGGGUGACCUCAUUGCUGUCUACAGCUUCUGAAGGAGGGGAAGUGAAGAGGGAGAUGCUGAUCUCUUCUCCCCGGUAUCCAGUGAUAGAACAUGUCAGAAUGAUUCAAAGCUGUGCCAGGGGAGGCUUAGACUGGACGUGAGAAAGCAUUCAUUUACUGAGAGUGUGGUCAGACACUGGAGCAGGCUUCCUAGAGAUGUGGUCAAAGCCUCAAGCCUGUCAGUGUUUAAGAGGCAUCUGGACAAUGCUCUUAAUAAUAUGCUUUAACUUUUGGUCAGGCCUUAAUUGAUCAGUUGAACUAGUUGAUCAUUGAAGGUCCCUUCUGACUGAAAUCUAUUCUAUUCUAUUCUUGGCUGGCAAAUAAAUUGCUAUUUUAUCUAUUUGGAGAGACACUCUCAAACCAGUUGAGCAUAUGAAUUUACAUGCAACAAUGGAAAAUGAUGAGGGGUUACUGUGCAGACUUUGCCUGUGCUAUCAGUAUGUAUUUUUACAAAUGUAUGAAUGUCAAUACCUAAUGCUGAUAUACAUUAAUUUAAAAAGGGAAAGUGAAAGAAAACUAACCACAUUCAGAUAUUCCUAUUUAUCAGUAUUGUGGCUCACAUCAAGUAUAUUGUAGACAUUCUUAGCAAUUUAAAUAAUAAUAAAAAAAAAAAAAAAAAAAAAAACAAACCCCAAAAUACUUUUGACCUUCACAAGCAUAAAAGCUGCAGCAAGAUACAUGAUACGCUAUCAAAAAUGUUAUUGAGUGGUAUUAGAUCAAAUUUGUUUUGUCUUUUGUUCAUAAUGUAAUAGCAAAUAAGUUUAUGAAAUGUUUAGUGAGGUAUAAAAGCAUACUUCAAACAAAAUCAAUUAUACUAUUAUAAUUUAAUUUUCAUGUUAUUUAGGAUACAUUGAACAAACUGUAAACCUAAAACAAAACAGAAGAAUACUCAAAAUUAUUCCAAAUUAAAAUCUGUCACCAUGACACUAACCUAUAUUCAAGAACUUAAAGCUCUGUUAAAUUCCUAUUCACAUCACAGUAAUUCUUCAAACAAGAUAUUUUUUCACAAUUUGAAUUAUCUUAAACUACAAGUCUUGAAAUGUUAAUUAUGUUAAUACAUUUUAAAGUUAGAAAACCCUAAAUAGUUUUCAUCCUUGUUUGUAGAGCUCUUUCAAACUUCCUUAGCAUUAUGUUUAUGAAGGUUGGGUUAGCCUUACUUUACCAAGGGUAACCUUCUUUUUCUAGGUCACUUCAUUUGGGAUCCUUUUAUCACAAAGAGACUGUCAGUAAGAGAUGAACAACUUAGGAGUGAAAAGCAAUUAUUUAUUGGCUAAUACAUGUGGUAGAUAGCUGCAACCAAUAAGCUACCAUGCAAAGCAUUAAUAUGCUUGCCAUCCCUAAUACUGAUCCCUGAUGAGUCUCAGUUGAUGGGGUAGUUUGUAGUCAGAUGAGGAAGAGCCUUCUUAUUCUUUGAACAGGCUAAUCCUUGCUGCGGCUGAAUUUUUCUCAGGAUUUUAAACCUUUUCUUGUCAGCAUUUUGCAUACUGAAUCUCUGACUUGCUGAUUGUUACUGUCUCAACACCUAAACUUCUCACCUCCCCCCCCCCGCCAUUUUUUUUUUGUCUUCCUGAACUUCAGACCACUUACUUUCUCACACUUAAACUAAUUUCUUUCAGCAAAAUGGUGCCAUAGUCACACAGCUGUGCUGCAGUAAACUAAGUCUUUGAUCUCCAACAGCUGAAACCAUUGGUCAAGGGUUACACUAGUGUACUGUAAUUUGUUGUAUGUACAUUUGUAUAGGAGGUAUUGGAUUUAUUAUAUUAAAAUUGUAAUAAUUGUCAGUUAAAGUUCAAAUUGAGUCCAUCUUUUUAAAACAACCUGGUUUUGUUUUGGUUUGUUUUUUUUUUUUGAGGUGGAGUUUAUAUGUCUUAAACAUUUUUUUUUUUUUUAAUCUGCCUGCAUAUUAUCUCUUUUUUUUUUCAGGUCUUGAAACAAUUAAAUACUAUCCUGCAAUUUGAUCACAAAGAGGCCUUUUAGCCCUGUACUGUGUGAAAUUUGAAAUAUUCUAUGUUCCAUGAUUUGAUAAAUUUUCAUUCUUUAUUGAGUAUACAGAAGUCCUAGAGAACCAAAUGGGGGAUAAAUCUAUAGAAGCUGAGAUGGGAACUUUCCUUUUCUUAAAUAUAUAUUUUAACUCUUUCUAAUCAGGAAAGAAAUUAUCAUUAGUGGGGUAGAUUUCAAUUGCUUCCUUCUGAAAGUUUCUUCCUACUCCGCAUUCAUCAGGUGUUGCUCCCUAAAUUUAAUGUUUUCUGUGGAGUUAGAUGUAGGAUUCUAAGGUAAACAAGGUGAAAUGUUUUAGAUUAAUAUAAAAUUAGAACACAAGUAUUUUGUAUAGAAAGUAUGUGAUUUAGAGAAGGAGGGAGAGAAUGUAUGCAGAAUAUUUUUAGGAUCUGUUGAAGUUUACUUGAUAAUAAAGAUGAAGAUAAUAAAUAUUUAGUCUUCUUGAAGCAAUAGAUUCUAUAGCAGGUGUAGCACUUGAUUCUCAGCUCAAUAUAUUUAAUUUUUUGCCGUUUAUUCUGUAUUUUUUUUAAAGUAGUCAUUGAAUGGUGGAAGUUCUCCAUGUAAAUCAUAGAGUCCGUGAAAAAACAGCUGACACACCAACAUCAUCAUCAACAACAACAGAAUAAGGAAUUUAACGGAUACUUUUGAACAGAAUUUUCUGUCAUCUGUGUAUUUUAUGUAUUCACUUUUUAUAGCCUUGUUGCUGGUACCAUUUAAGAGAGUUGCGGUCCAGCAAUGUUGUAUAUGUGUAUGUAUGCAUUACUAAACAUUAAUAAAAGUGCCAUUUAAGUACAAUAAAUUCAAGAUAAUAAUUCAAGUUGUUUGUCAGAUACUGGAAAUGAAGUGUCUCAGAUCUCAGGCUUUUUUUUAACCCCCUCCCACCCUAACACUUUAAUCUAUCCCAUCUGCAUACACACUCUUUGGUGAUAUCUUUUUGCUUGUUUCACAUCUCCGACUAUUUGGAAGUCAAAGAAGGAAUCAUCAUGAUACUAUUAGAAGUACAAAUUGUUAAUUGUGCUUGGAGAAAUCCCAAACCAUGAAUAGCAGUAUUUUUUAAAAAUAAUUUAAUGUCUUGCUUUGACCUCUCCAGAUCAAUAAACAUUGAUACCACUUUUCCUCUGAGUGUCAUUGUCUUAUUUGAUCAUAGCAGCAGCCAAAAAAUGAAGUCUGAGUUGCAUGAAUUGCAUGGCAAGGUUUGUGUCAAAAUGUUGUACUUAUUAGAACUGAUGGGCAGAUGUGGAUGCUGUCAGGAACAAGACCUGACCUGGAGAUGCUAUUGAUUUGCCUGUCCAGCUGUGCUCCUGUUAGCCAGGGAGAAACCCUGCCCAAGCUGACCUGCCUGCAGGGUUGACUUCUGUGUCAUGCUCAUAGUAACAGGCUUCAUCUGAGGUCCUGAAUUAUGCUACAGUGAUCAAGAGCAGGGCUGCCCACCAGGUACAGUCAGACAGCACCAAUUUCAAGAUUAAGAUAUCUUAUUACUGCUUUUCCUUCAUCUUGACUCUCCUUUUUGCCACCCUUGUACCUCACUUUAUUUGCCCCAAUCUUCUCUCUGCUGCCCUCAAUUACUUUUUCCCUACUCAUCCCAGUUUUGCUACAUCCUUAUCCAAAUCAGAUAUUUCUGCUAUUAUUACUUAGGUAACCUCAGCCUUGUAGGUUAUUAAUGACGUGGUUACCUCGGCACUGCUGGCCUGCAAGAUCCUGCCUUCUCAAAGGUCACCAGUACUCCCUCUAAUUACCUGUGAUUUUCAGUCAUUUCUCAGGUAGUUCUGCCUUAACCAUGUGCACCACUGCCAUGCCUCAUGGUGUGCUCUCUAAUUUAUGUCAGCUUCUCACACUGUUAUCUGUCACAUCCAGCAUUUUACCAUAUUGUGUCAUGUCCUGCCCAGUAAAGGUCAUCUCUGGGCAGUGUCUAGCCAAUAGCCUAAUCAUGGUCUUUCAGCCAUGACAAGAUUCCACCUUUUAUGUAACUUCACAGCUAUUUCAGGCCAAUCUUCAUGUCUAUGGCCACCUAAGUACAGACUUUUUGUUAUACUUUUAACACAGGUAACCGUGAAAAUCAAAAUGCCAAUGAUAAAAGGUUGAUUAAAGCCAAAAUAGUGAUAAGUGCCCAUCGCUUUUGUCCUCCUCUUCCUAACGUAUCUAUCCACAGCUAAUGUUUCCAGGAACACCAUUAACAGCAUUUUCCAUUGAGAGACUUCAAAUAAGUAUUAUUUAUAACCUUCUUGUUUUGAUUCCUUUUCUCAAAUGCUUUAACCCUAAUGAAAAAAGUUUACCUCUCUGUUGUCAUGUCUAGUCCAUCAUCAUUAUAGUCUGUCAUGUUUCACUUAUUAUUUAUUUCUUUAUGAACUUUGACAUAAUCUUCUCACUGAAAUUUAUCCAUACUGUAAAACCAUACUUUAAAAUCUCUCCUAUUAGAAAAAAUUAACUCCUGUUUUCAGAUUUUGUUAGACAUUUACAUUUCAUUUAAAUGAUCCUUAUAAAGUUUAAUUGACCAAGAAAAUAAUUCUAAUUACAAAGCUGUGUCUGAAAAUUUUGUAAUCCAUUCAUUUUGUAUUUUCUGUAUGAAGAUUUGCUAUCAAGUAGCAGAAUGGAGGAUUUUAGCUAAAUAAAAAAAAGUCUACGUUUGUGAACACUACUAGCAGAAUAAAAUAUUACAUUAUGUUAAAAUGUUAUUAAGAGCAAACUGUGAUUUAAAAAGUUAAUUAAAAAGUGCUAUCAAAGUCAAUUCCAGUUUCAGAGGUAUUGAUUAUUCCUUCUGAGCUCUCCAUUCUAACUAUACAGAAAAUUACUACCGAUUGCUGGAGUUUGAGAACUGAAAACUGAUAUCUCUAAUUUAGCCACAUAUUACUUUUUUAUAAUUUAUGUCUGAAAGAAAAGAUAGCUGAAACAUUCUUGAUAAUUUAAUUAUUAAAGAUUUGUAAAUUAAACUCCAAAAGAUAUUUAUAUGUUUUAAAAGUGUGAAAGUAGCACAUCAGUGAAUCUGGUACACAUAUUAUCCAGAACUUGAUCCUCCUGUUAAUGUGCCUCACAGUUAAAGUCAUUGGGCUUGCUGCUUACAUACAGAGCAAAUGCACACACUAUGCUCUCUACUCCAUGUGUAAUCCCUUCAGGUCUCUUUUCAAAUGUAGUUUAGGUGUUAAGACAGAUUUUUAAGGAUAAAUCUGCAUCUGGAAUAAUGAAUUUGGUAAGAACAUAGGAUAAAGUGGGUGUUGUGUUGCACAGGGUAGGAAUUAGCUCCAGACUGCAGAGACUAAAAUUUCCAUGCACUUAGAUAUUAUACGUGAUUUUGAAAGCUAAAUACUGUGGUUUACAUCAUAGUAGAUGGUAAGAUUGGGCACCAUACAGUUGCCUUGACAUUCAAAGACAUAUGACGGAUAUGAUAGAUACGGCACAGUCCCUGUGCCCUUCCCAAGUGACAGUUGCAUAAGAUGAUACCUGAAGAUGCCUCUCUUCUGCUGAUAACUUUUUUUUUUUAUAUUUGACAUAUUCUAUUAACUAGUGCCAAUUAUGUUUUUUUUAUGUAUUGUUUCAGGUUAUUCUUGCUAUAGUGUAUUCAUGUCCUGUAGAAGUUUCUGAUUUUCCUGUGCAUUCUGUUUAUGUGUUUACACAACAAAUUCUUAAAUGCUGUGUUAGCUCUCAUAACUGAACUAAGUGUAGUAUAUGGACAGAGAAAUGUGAUGUCUGAGUCCUUUAUGCACUUGAAAGUUGAAUGACACCACAGUCACUAAGUUCCUUUGUCAGUACUUCUUUACCUGUAAUUUAGUAACUGGUAUGUUUAGAUUUAUAUGGAUGCUCGAAGGAAUGCCUAGCCAAACAAGUCAGGUAAGCUUACUUCAAAGUUCAAUUAAGUUAAGGUCCAGCAUAAAUUGUUGAAGUAAAAUCUGACAUCCUUACACUGCCAUGUCAUAUCAUUCCUUCUCAAUGGAAAUCUAGCUGAGUGGAUAGAGAUCUAACUUAACAAUGUGUCUUCCAGAGCAUCACGUAUGGACUAGUUUUGGCCAAGUGAAACCGAGAAGUAAAAGCUGUGUAAGUUUGAAAGCCUGUGAUGCUACAGAAAAAGUAAUAUAAAUGAUGAGAUGGAGAAUGGCUAAGAAGGAAUGGUAUCCUGGCAAUGUGGUGGAAGAAACUAAAAGAAUGUGCCAACAGGCCUGAGAGAGAAGAAAUCUUUUCACCAUUUUGUGUAUGAGUUCUGUUAAAGUUGGUCAUGAGUUCAGUGAUGAAGAUUUAUAGAACGUUAUUCCUUCCUGCUAUUUUAAUUUAAUUUAAAGAGUAUGGUUUAACCUAUAAAAAUUUCUAGCCAGAAGGUUUCAGAAAUAUAUUUAGGAGUUCUUUUUAAUUAAAAACAGGAUAACGGUUUGCAAUAUGUUAGCCUGGCAUUUAAUAAGAUGACCUAGAAUCAUAAAAAUGCACUCAAUUAUAUUUUUUUUAAAAUUCCUCUUGGAGCUGCCUGAAGAUUUACUCUGUAUACAAAUUUAAAUUAAUAAUAUAUAUUGUGAUAUAAUAAAUACCUUUUUCAAUCAUACAAAUGUUUCUUAUUGUGACCAUCACAGACAAUUUAUCCAGAGCUGUAUAGUCCAAAGAAGAACUCAGGACUGCCUUCUGAGCUCUCAAAGAACUCAAAUCACUUUUCAUGCUGUCAUCCAGAUAAGUCAUAUUUGUGAGGUCUCUCUUCUCUCUUUUACCAGAUUGCUUGGGUAGAUUAGGAAUUAUUCUUCUUGAUUGUUUGUUUAGUUUUUUUUUGUUUAAUUACUUGCUUUUACAGAAGCAAUUAAGGCUGUGUACUCCAAAAUACAUCAAUCCAAUUUCAUGACAUAAAUUAGUUCAAUUAUGUUAAAAGCAAAAUCUCUUCUACUGUAGUUUCAAAAUUUCUAGUUUGACAUAAUUACUUCAGAUAUACUUUGUUUAUGAAUAGCUCAUUUUGAAACAAUAAAAAAUACUAGUCACAAAGUAUUGCUAUAAUAAACAAGUUUCUACUAUGAUUAACAUAUUCCUUUAAUAGAUAGAAACAAACAAUGUGUCUGAAAUGAAUAUGGGUUUGGAUCCCAAAAGGAAUUUAGACACUGCAGCAUAUUAUUGAAGUACCUAAUUUUUAAGUCCAGUUUUUAGAUGUCUUCAUUGCAGACUGAAAUCCCGAUCAUUUUUGUUAGACUAUUAGCUUCCUAAACAAAGUUCUAUUUUUGAGACUGAUUAGAAGACUGGAGUGCUGAAUGAUGAGCUGAUAGUUAGCCAAUAAUGAGAAGCAUCUACUCAGUGCCAUUACUCUUCAGACAAUACUGAUCGCCAAGGAGGCUGUUUUCUUCACUCAUGAUUAACAGUCCUUCUUAAAAUACAAGAGCACAGCAAGAAGAACUUUUAUUCUUUUUCACACAGCUGUUUAUUAGGAUGUAGUAGAUGGAAAUUCAGAGUCCUUCAUCUCCUGGAAGACUUGAACAUAGUGGGUUGGGUUUUUUUGGUUUUUUUUUGGCAGGUUGUCCUGCAAGCUAUGGGCUAUUGUGGAAUAAAGCUGCAACUUGAAGACAAAAUUUAAAGUAUUCGUUUGUCUUGACUGAAAGAAAAAAGCAUGAAUAAGCUACUGGAUGAAGAGGAUCUUAUUUAUCCACUUAUCUAUUAAUCCUGUCCUUUACAGUGUCUUAAUUUUUUCCAGUAUAAGACAAUGAGUUAUUAAGGUAUAAUUCUCUGCCUACCCAUGAAAACUUCUUUAGAAAUUAUCCAUGUUUACUCCUCUGCAAUCACAGAAUCAAAGAAUGGCUGGGGUUGGGAGGGAUCUCUGGAGAUCACCUAGUCCAUCCCACCUGCUAAAGCAGAUUCACCUAGAGCAGAUCACACAGGAAUACAUCCACAUGGGUUUUGAACAUCACCAGAAGAAGGAGACUCGAUAACCUCUCUGGGCAGCCUGUCCAGUGCUCUGGCACCCUUAAAGUAAAGAAGUUUGUUCUCAUAGUCAGAUGGAACCUCCUAUGCUUCAGUCUAUGCCUGUUGCCCAUCAUCCUAUCAUUGGGCAUCACUGAAAAGAGUCUUGUCCCAUCCUCUUGACACCCUCCCUUGAGACAUUUACAAGCAUUGCUAAAAUCCCCUCUCAACCUUCUCUUCUCCAGGAUGAACAGACCCAGCUCCCUCAGUCUUUCCAUAUAAGAAAUGUGUUCUAGGCCCCUAAUCAUCUUUGUAGCCGGUCACUGGACUCCCUCCAGUGAUUCCUUGUCCUUCCUAAAUUGGGGAGUGCAGAACUGGACACAGUACUCCAGAUGCAGCCUCACCAGGGCAGAGUGGAGGGGGAGGAGAACCUCCCUCGACCUGCUGGUCACACUUUUCCUAAUGCAGCCCAGGAUACCAUUGGCCUUUUUGGCCACAAGGGCACAUUGUUGACUCAUGGUCGACUUGUUGUUGACCAGGACUCCCAGGUCCUUCUCUGCAGUGCUGAUUUUCAGCAGGUCCACCCCUAACCUGUACUGGUAUCAAUGCAGUUUGAGAUAAAAGAUCACAUGCCUUUAAUAAAAAAAAAUCUGAUUCAUUCAAGUGAGGUGAUUUUUUUUCUUGUUUAUUUAUGCACGUGCCAUAGGUUUUCCUACAAUCCCUUCAAUUUUAGACAAAUUCUCUGCAGAGCCCUUUCCAGAAAGAAUUCUGCUGUGAGAACUGAUCUCUUGUGUUAGCUGGAUAGAUUUGAGUAUACAAAAUUAAGUAAUUUGAAAAUACUUUACAUUUAGUAAGAAGAUUGGCACCCAUUACUUCUGAAUGAAGGGGUUUAUAAAACAUAAUUUUGGCCUAUAUCAAUGCAUUAUCAGAGAAGAAGAACACAUAGGACUAUCCCCUAAGCUCAAAAUUCUGCCCGGCUUCCACUUGGAUGUAAUAUGUUCAAUAUCUCACCUAUUAUUACUCUCUUCUGUUUCUCCUCAACUUGUCCCAGGAGUUACUAGUAAAUUGCUAUGUCUAAAUAGUAAUAACAAAGGUACUCCGAGACAAAAUGUCUUUUAUCUAAUGCACCUUGAUGCAAGAUGAGCACUGUCAAGGUAUGCACACAACUCUGAACAGAUUUAAGUCUCCUGAAUUUCUAUUAUUUCUGAGAAGAAAUCAGUAAUAUAGGAAUGAGAUAUUAUUAUUUUAAUCAUUGUUUGUCAAAAUAGCGGUCACCACUGCAACAUGAAGUUCAGUUAAGAUACAGCACUGACUGUUGGAUAUCUCUGGGUUUAGUUAGAGCUACCUUUUAAAAAUAGUUAUGGUUUUAGUUCACUGUUUAAUUGUUCACUAUUUUAAUUGUUACAAAGUGACUUGUUUCUCAGUUACUGAGAAAGAUUUUUUUUUUUUAAUUUUAGAUGCCGCUGGUAUCUGCUACUAAGGUAAUUUUAAUGUUCAUUCUGGCUUGUGAAACAAUAAUAUUGAUUAUCUCUGUUAGAUGGAAGUUAUUAACUUGUGAAAUUAUUAACCUCUGACAUGAAUGAGAGGUAAAUGUGAAUGCUUUAUUUCUAAGGGCACUGUAAAUUCACUUGUUGAACUUAAUAGCUCAUUACCUAAGGAAUAUUUGGCUAAUUACUCUUGCCAAGAACUAUAUAUAAAUAAAUACAAUAUGAAACAUGACAAAAAUAAUACCUAACAUAAAUAAUUUCUAUAUUGUUAUAGUACUGGAGAAUAACACAACCCACUAUCCCUUCAAUAAUUCACAGUCAGUGAAAGGAUGAAGUAUUCAUAAACAAUAGGACUUUUAAGUUACAAGGGAUUCAAAGAAAACAGGAGCUCAGAUAAUGAUGUUGGCUGACUGUUUUGCUCAUAUAAUUGCAAUGCAGUGAUAGUUUAUCCUAAGAUUAAUGAAGUAUGACAUGUUAUGUUUUUCUGGUGACACUGCUGAUACUGCAAAUGCCAUAUGUUCAUUGGAUUUUAUACUGUGUUGUGCUUAACAGUGUACUUGCAACUAUAAACAGCAUUUGUGUGUUAUAAUUAAUCUUUGAUAAAUGAAUGUCCACAUCAGAUUACAGUUAGAUCGUUUUAAUUAAGUAGAUAUAUUUUCUCUUCAUUGCAAUGGUAGAGGUAAGAUGCUCAUUAUGUUCUCACUCAUUCACAUUUUUUCAUACUGAACACAACCAUGUUUGUCAAAAUCUGCUGUGGGAAUUAGCUACAGUGGACACUCUUAGAUGUCUUGCUGGCCUACAGACUAUUCCAAGCUGAUACAGAGAUCAAUGUGUCCAGGCUGGAAAGUACUGAUGCUUUACAGAGGCUUUUUCAAAAUAAUGGUAACUGUGUGAGUAACUGAUAGAUCUAACCUGAAGCCAACCUCUGAAGUAUGAUUAUAAGCAAGACUCAAUAGAUGUCUUGGAAGCCUUAAUUUGGGUUCGGGAAAUUUGCCUGUGCCCAAGCCCAAAAUCUGGCUACAGUAAGUGAUGCAUAAAGAAAUAUAUAAAGCCUACUCCUGUUUGACCAAAAUCACUAGUAUCACUCUGCUUUGUUUAUAUGCAUGCCUGUAGGCAGUCUCAUUCUUAUCUGUUUGCACUGCCAAGACCCUGAACCUCAAUGCCGCACACUGAAUCCGGUGCCUCUUCCAGCAUCUUCUGAAUACCCAUAUAGAAAUAUCAAACCAAAACAAAAAAAACUUUGUCAUCAUAUUUGUCCUUCAUAAAUUGCAUAAAUAAUCACUGUCUCAAAAAAUAUUUUCAGUAGAGUAUUAGUUUAUUAAUGCACAAUAGUAGUGCAGCUGUUGAAAUGCUGAGAGAAAUGCAAAAUUUGUGAUUAAUUUAUCCCUUCAGUUUCAGAAGCAACAAAUUCAUAUCAUCCAGCUUUUAGGAGAUAUGGGAGUUAUUUCCACACUUGUUGUAUCUCUCCUUAUACAUUAAAUAUUCUUAUUCUUAUUGCAUAACAGCACCAUUUCAAAAGGAGAAACCAAGAAAACUUAUCUGCUCUAACCCAACAUCUGUUACUGUAAAAGCUUUUUCCUGUGAAGUCCAGGAUGUUUAUUUUACCCUCUUGAUGUAAGAUGUGAAUUAAAUGAAAGUCUUUGACAGCCUGGACCAGUCUGCUGACUCUAAAGAAAUAAUGUAAAAUAGAAACAAGACUCCAGUUUGCCUCCUAGCAGUUGUUUUAUAAAAUUCAAAAAGUCACAAGUCUUGACAAUGGCUUAUAAAUAAAUAUACUUUUUUUUUCAAGGUCUGUGGAAUGUACAUGCUGCUUUACCAAUAGUUUUCCCAGGAGAUAACACCAAAGUACUUCUAGGGAAAUCCAGAGCUAGAGAAGCACAUAGUGAGUUUAGAUGAUUUAUUCACAGAACUUGUGAAUCGUAAGGAUGGUACCUACUUAAAAAGCAAGAUUCACUACAGCUAUUGUCAGUAUGCUAGCCUGUAGUUAAGUGUGUACAAUGUACCCAUUUAUAGCAAUUUGUGUCCUGCAACGUAGCCAUGGCUCAUAAAGCAUACUUCUGCUGGAACUUGACAUAACUGAAUGAAAAUCAGUCACCCAAAAGAGCAAAGGAACCAGUGAGCAGCAAGGUGGAGAACAUAUAGUGAACAAACUGUACCAUACAUUUCAAGUGUUUGAAACAGCUUCGGCUCAAGACAUUUCUUUGACUAUACCUUGAGGAGUUCCUACUAUUUGGAGAUUUUUUUUUCUUUUGUAGCUGAAUGUCUCUAUUAGGAUAACAUUUUCCCCUUUAUUAUUUUCUAGAGAUGUAUAAGUUUUUGUGAGGAAACGUAACAGAAAAUAAAGGCAAGUUUAAAAUGAAGACAAUGAAAAGAAAAAUCUUCACUUCUAAUAAUCACCCAUCUCUGUAUAAAACCAUAUUGACCAGCCUGUAAAUCAGGCGGAUUUGGCUGUCAGUACCAGAAUGAAUAUUUUUGGGUGGUAUAUAUAACAGAUAUAAAUUCUUUAUAUGUUUUCCAAAGUAUUAUUCACCAAGAUAUUAUUCACAGAAGCUUAUUGGCAAAGUAGUUGCCAAAACAUUUUCUUUCUUUAAGCUCGAUAAAGAAGAAUCUGAGAGUAGCAGCAAAGAGGACUCUGUUGUCAGAGAAAUACGCAGAAAAUAUACAUUUACUAUGGGUCAUCCAAAUAUUGCACAGUUUUCGGCCUUAUUUGCAAACCAAAUUUAUCCAACGAUUUGAUAAAGGAGCUGCAUUUAUACUAUUUUUUCCAACAAUAGAAAUAAAUAAGAGGAAGCCUCAGAAGUAAAAAAAUCACAGAUUCCAAUGAUUUUGUUCUUAAGUAUAAAUACAAAUUUACAUUCUCAGAAAUAUCAAAAUGAUAAUGAUUUACAUCCAUAUCCUGCAGCUGCAAAUGACUGCAUGAUCAAGAGCACUAUAGAAUCGUAUCCCUUUCUGUUUGACUAAUAUAUUUUUUCCAGAAUCCAUUUCAUUAGGCUGAUUUCUAAGCAUUUUUCAAGUACUUUGCUUUUGUUUAACAGAAGUCUCAACUCUUAAUGAAUUCUCAUAUCCUUCUUGACAGUUCUUAGAAGCAGAUUUACAUUUUUAGAUACAAUGUUUUAUAUAAUGACGAGUAUUGAUUUUGAUCAUUGAAAGCAGAUGCAGUACUGAAAAUAAUAAUAAAAAGUUUUUCUUUAUAGAAUAGCCUCAAGUGUUUUACUUUAUUAAUAUUAAUGCUGUUAAUAAUGUAUUAAUAACAGAAGCCAUUGCAAUGCAAAUUGGCAUGGUUCCCUGAAUUUGGUAGGACUAUAUCCAGUAAAUCUGUCUAAGAAAAUGAUUCAGUUUCUAACUGAACCUGGGCUUUUCCCAGUGUAAUCUUAACAUUUAUGUUAAGUAAAAAUGCAUGGUUUGUUUUUGUUUUGUUUGGUUUGGUUUGGUUUGGUUUUUCCAUUUCUUAUUAAUUUUUGCAACGUUGCUACUUCUAUACAUUGCUUCUAAAAAACAUUAGUGAUUAAGUGUCUGAGGGUGUCAAAAAUGGAUGACCUUCUAGUUGGUGAAAGUAUCUAGUUUUCUAUCCUUCUAAGGACUGCAAAGUAUCUGGAAAUUUCGAGGUAUUUCUUAUAAUUUCUUUUGUUUAAAUAAAUGCAAUAUUUUUUUAUCUAUGAUUUUAUUUACUCUUUCAAUCUGCUUAAAUUUACAUUUAAAAUCAGUCUUCUCUUUUAUUGAGAGAGACUUGUAUACCACUUCUCUGAUUUUAAAAGGUGUGGUCCCCAUUGAUUUUAAAUAGCUUUGUGAAAUCAAGACCCCUUUUUUGCUAGUGUUUUUUCCAGAUAUCUAUAUUUAAACAUGUAAGAAUGCAUAAUUAUUUUAACAAGUCAUGCAUCACCUUUUUCUUUGUUGUAAAAUAAUGGAAGGGAAUUGGGAAAGUUAUACUUUUAUAUUAUGCCUGCAUGUAUUUUUUAUUAUUCUAUAAGGCAUCCUUUCUAAACCUUACAUAUGAAUCCAUAUGCCUACAUGUGUAUAUACAUGUAUAUGCACACAUAAAAAUUGUAUGUUAUUACUGCUUAUUUUUUACCCUAACUAGUUUUAAUUCUUAAUAUUUAUCUGGAAAUGCUUAAUUCUUUUUAAGAGAGACUUUGUACCAGCAUUACAACGCAAAUAACAGGGACAUAGAAUGUAGAUACUAAAAUCUCCGCUUACUUCUAGGUAUUGUUUGUUUUCAAGUAGUAAAAGAAUGUGUGGUUAGAACUGCAGUUCUACAGAACUAGUCAAGGCUAGGGCCCUUAUUCAAGAACUUUUGGAGGGCUGAGCUUAUUAUGUGGUAGCUGUCUGUAUAACUCCAGGGUGCAGUCAUGCACAAUUUAGAUAAGCAUUGUAGAGUUUGCAGUAAACGAGCUUCCAGACUAAUACAAUAGAAGUGGUCUUUAUUUGUAAUCAAAUUGAAUGUCAGAAAUUGGCUACAGAAAUAUAGCUGAAAUUUCGUACUUAAAAGGUACUUGAAAAAUUAACCACACAAUCUUAGAAUGUUUUUCUAAAUUAUUUCAGUAAAAUGUCAUGCUAUGUGUAAGUUAGCAAAAGAACUUAUAAGGAAGAAAAAACUUGUAGCCUUGUUUGUUCUCCAGUAUAUGCUGCAAGGUUUUAAUCUUGUUUGUUAGAAAAUGCUAUAAAAUAUAUCUGGAGUGAAUUUAAAUUACAUAAUGAGUAAAGUGUUGGAAGGGGACAGAAAUUGUCCUUUUUAUGCGUAAAAGAGAUAUACAUGUCUAAUUUCCCUUAUCAGAAAUCAAGAAAGGAAUCAAAAUAACUAUUUAAACUUAAUAAUUUCCUCCAAAUUUCAGAGCUGCUCUCAUUUAAAAUCAAUAAUGUUUCCAGGUUAACACUGUACUCAUUUAAUAUACGGAGACCCUAGGGGUAGGGGACAUUUACGUGUCAGCUUUUAAGUGAUUUCACUUGCUAAUUCUGCCAGCAAAAUCAGAUGACGUCCCAAAUGGGGAGAACUAAUUAAAAAUUAGAUGUCUUCAUGACUUUUUCACUUAGAGUAAAACCUCAAAACUAGAAUGUUGCAGUCAUUCUGUAGGGAAGAUUUGUCAAAUAUCUUUUUUUUAGAGUAGAUGAGCUUCUGGGUGUGUAAAGUUAACAUCUUCAAUCCACAGCUUAAAUCCUCAUGAUAUAAAUAAGAGUUUCACAGAAAGAUGAAGGAAAGUCCAUACGGUCAUGUGUCUUAAGCCUCUCUAGGAAACUGGAAUGAGUCAGAAAGACAGGAAACAGAGACAACUUCACAUUGACCAACUGUUUUCUUUAAUAGAUAGACUCAGACAUCUUAGAAUCAUAGAAUCAUUUCAGUUGGAAGAGACCCUCAAGAUCAUCGAGUCCAAUCAUAAACUAGCUCUAUGACUAAACCAUGUCCCUAAGAACCUCGUCUAUACACCUCUUAAACACCUCCAAGGAUAGUGACUCAACCACUUCCCUGGGCAGCCUGUUCCACUGCUUCACAACCCUUUCCAUGAAUAAUUUUUUCCUAGUAUCCAAUCUGAACCUUCUCUGAUGCAACUUGUGGCCAUUUUCUCUUGUCAGUUGCUACGUGGGAGAAGUGACCAACACCCUCCAUGCUAUAACCUCCUUUCAGGUAGUUGUACAGAGCAAUAAGGUCUCCCCUCUCCAGGUUAAACAGCCCUAGUUCCCUCAGCUGCUCCUCAUCACACUUGUGCUCCAGGCCCCUCACCAGAUUCGUUGCCCUCCUCUGUACUCUCUCUAGUAUCUCAAUGUACUUCUUAUGAUGAGGGGCCCAAAACUGAACACAAUAUUUAAGAUGGGGCCUCACCUCAAGUACAUGGAGAUGAUCCUUUCCCUAGUCCUGCUGGCUACAUUAUUCUGGGUUCACGCCAAGGUGCUGUUGGUCUUUUUGGUCACCUGGGCACACUGCUGGUUCGUAUUCAGCUGGCUUUUGAUCAACAUCCCCAGAUCCUUUUCUGCUAGGCAUCUUUCCAGUCACUCACUGCAUUUAAGAGUAACAGUUUCUUAACUUUGUCAGAGGUAUUUGUUGACCCUUUAAUUGGCUUUAUACAUAAUCUCUGUAGAAGGGUUUAUACAUAAUCUCUGUAUCAUGGGUUUACUCCCUAUCAUGACCUUGAGCUAAUACACAGAGAAAGUCACAACUGGAACUUAAAUAAGUGUAAAAAGAACCUGUCAGCCAUUUACAGCUUCUAUAAGCUGAACAUUAAAAAUAAAACAGAUGACAGAAACAGAAUAAAAACAACUAUAAAGAGCAAGAAAGAUCACAUUGUGAGAAAAGCACAUACUAUCCUGCUUCUUUUAUUUUCAUGUUGAGUUUGUUGUUCAUGAAAUUAUAAAUAAGAAACUAAUAAAUAUGGUGAUCUAUUAAUAUUAUCAUGAUCUAAUCAAAUCCAAACAAGACUUUUCCCAUUUUCUUUUUUUUUUUUUUAAUCUUAACAGACAAACUUUAUAAAUAAGAACCAUCUGAUAUGAUUAAGAAAUUUAGAAAUGUAAUGUAGUACUACAUAUGUCCAGAUUAAUCUUAGCCCCCCCCAAAAAAAGCCAAGACAUCCCACUCAAGUAUCUGCAGAAUAGUUAAUGACAAUAGAAACCUUAAUGAUCUACAACCUCUUGUCCUGGUUUAGGUCUGGCUGCCAAUAUUUUGCCCUAGAGCACUUCUUCAGACAGUCCCAGAAAGUGAAGAUUUGGUCCUCUUAGGGCAAGUUACAUGUUUGGAAGGAAAAGAAAUGGAAAAAAAAAAAAAAAAAAAAGAAAAGCCACCACAACAAAAUAAAAACAGACUCAUAAACAAACAAACUAACAACAAACCAAUCAACCAACCAAAACUAGCCAAAACAAUCCUUCUGCUUCAGAUCAGGAAGUAACCAGUUUACAAGUCAAUAAAAACAGUAAACCUGACUACUGGUAGGAAAAGGUAUGUAUUUCACAUAUAAUAGAAACAAUGGAAAAGAUUGUCCAUUAAGAAAGUAUUGAAUCUUAGCAGCAGUGUAUGAGAGCGAGCUCUGAAAAAGUGAGAAGGGAAGGAAAAAAUAAAGUAAGAUCUGGUGCUAAAUGUUCAUGUGUCAGACCAAAGUGGCAGGUUUGAGCAGCUGGGAGCUGCAGGAUGCCAUGAGGGCCACAUUGGCUCUGACACCACUGCAAACAUCCCGUUUCACCCCAAACUGAAGCCAGGCAGCAGAGGGGGGCAGGUCCUUGGGCUCACAUGUACUUAAGAAAUAUUGGCAGCUAGGGGGCACAGAAGGGACAUCAAGGAGAGGCAGUUUCAGAGACUUGUGCAGAAAAGGUGCCUGGGGAGACACAUGGUGAUAGACUCUUUGGGGAUAUGUGGGGAGACACAUGUAGAUGCUGUGCAAGGUGCUGUUGGAGACAUACAGAAAGACAGACAUUGACAGAAGAGAGUCUCCAGGGGCAGAUGGAAGAGGACCUAGGGCAGGACUGACAGUACUGAAGAAGAAGGUAGCAAAGUGAUACCCAGGGGACUCCACAGCCCAGGCCCCUGAUCAUGCACCACACAGCUGUGACCACUGAGCUGACCCAUCUGACCUUCCUCCUAGACUGCACUGUCUGCCUCAUGAGACAUUUUGAGCUCAUAUAAGUAUUUGGUGAUGAAGAUUUACAAAAAUAAAAUUUUAAAACUUCAUAAGUCUUAUUUGAUUCGUGUAAAAAGUCCUGUUAUAGAACAUUGUCCUGGUCUUGCUAAAAACAAGUUUCUCUUUUAGUGAAUUUGCCUGUCAGCUAAAGCCUUCAUAUUAACUGCGUUUUCCUGGAGAACCAGACACAUGUUUUGGUAAAGCUAGCAAUGGAAUGCAAACUUAUUGAUAAGCACGAAUGGACAUCUCGCGAGAGGGGCGACGAGAAACAAGUGACCAAGAAACUGACCAACUGUGUAUAACAUUGCAUUCACGUGAAUACCUCAUAUAAAAGUGGGAGAUCACGAGGAUCUCGUCCCUUUUGCUCCCUUUUCCCUUUUUGCCUUUGCUUUUUUCCUUAUGGCCGACAUUAGGAGAGGACCUUGCUAGUCGUCCCUGCGAACUGAGGCCUAGUGACAGACUGA